CCUACGGGAGGCAGCAGUGAGGAAUCUUGCGCAAUGGGCGAAAGCCUGACGCAGCAACGCCGCGUGGAGGAUGAAGGUCUUCGGAUUGUAAACUCCUGUCAGAGGGGACGAACGCUUGCGGGCUAAUCACCGCAAGCUUGACGGUACCCUCAGAGGAAGCCACGGCUAACUCUGUGCCAGCAGCCG
RNAcentral lists this ribosomal RNA (186 nucleotides) under uncultured Acidobacteriota bacterium. Its description in RNAcentral is "uncultured Acidobacteria bacterium partial 16S ribosomal RNA". It matches the Rfam family "Bacterial small subunit ribosomal RNA", at positions 338 to 517 of the family's 1533-position model. The record is from RNAcentral. Lineage: Bacteria; Pseudomonadati; Acidobacteriota.